GGGGAUGUUUUGGAUUUGACAGGAUGAUUGGUUUAACCAGAUUGCGAGUCCGGGCGCUGUUCCCGGUUAUCAACGAGCAAACUAAAUUAAAUGCUACAGAUAACGUUGUAGUUGCUGAUUUCUCUAGAGCUGCUGCUCGUAGAGCUGCGUAGAGCUUAGCUCCGCAUUCAGCCUCUCAUAGUUUCCAGCUUGCCGAUUCUAUGGGACAAUUAUGCAAGCUGCAGUGUGAUGAUAGUAGUAGUCACAUUAAGUUUACUACCAAAGGUUAGUCUUCCGAAAAAAGACUUUGGCUAUGGUUUUGGUCUAGUAAGUUCCCAGCCGUAGUUGAGAGUAAUAAUUUACUACACCCGUAGAGAUUUGUUUAAAUCCAUUUUGGACGUGGGUUCGAUUCCCACCAUCUCCA
Molecule: transfer-messenger RNA, 403 nt
Filed under: pig gut metagenome
Rfam family: transfer-messenger RNA
About the family: Bacterial tmRNA, also known as 10Sa RNA or SsrA, is named for its dual tRNA and mRNA-like properties. Its role is to liberate the mRNA from a stalled ribosome.
Source: RNAcentral